GCGGCGCCUGCUGCAAGCUAGACAAGGGCCCCGAGUUCCUCACCCCCGACAAGGACAAGGCGGACGGCCCUGACCACCUCCAGGUUAAUAUGAUGGAGCAUGCUGAAUUGCUGACCAUGAUCGUAGCUGUACAAGAGCAUGAUUGGCCCCGAUGGAUGGUGCACCAACUACGACAAGUCCAACUGAACCUGCAACAUCUACGAAGACUGGCCAUUCUUCUACCGGUUCGAACCGAAGGUUUUCAAAGAGUUCUUUGGUGUGCCAUGCAGCAAAUUCGACAGCGAAGACUGCAGUGGUUGUGUGGAUAACAUCAAGAUGGUGUAUGGUCAGGACUCUCCUAAGCUUGGAAACCUCAUGCGGGUCAUAAGGGAGGAAAGUAGUAAGCAUGAAGCAAGCAUGAACCGGGUUACUGGUACCUGAUUGAUUAUGGAGUGUAGAGUACUCACUCACCGAAGCAGUUGAAAACCGGAACACAAAUACUGGUCUGGAAGCACUGCCGCGUCGACGACGAAGGUGGUGACCGCGGCGGCGAGCGGCGCGAGUUGCUGGCUGCGGGACUCAACGACACGGCUCAUAUAUGUGCUUCCGACUAAUCCAGCUUCUUUUGGUCUAGCUGGGCAUUACUUUGAGUUCAUAUAUGUGCUUGUCACUCCAUAGGUUGUAGUGAUUCCCUCUGUUUCCUUAUAUGUUCUUGUAGCUUGGUUGCUUUCCUGUUCAUGCAUGUUUGUACAGCUAUAUAUAGUUUUGCUGUGAAUCAAAGACGACAUGCUUUCCUGUUCACUCCAUAGGUCAUGUGCUUGUCACUCCAUAGGUUAUAGUUUUGCUGUGAACCUAGGCGUGCUAUGUGGGGAAGCAAAGCAGCAGGUCACAACUCCGGCCUGCAACUCCAGAUGAAGGCACUCCGACGACGCAUCAUGCUACUCCCUUGGAAGGGCUUCCUAGUCCGUGGCCUGCCUUCUGGAUGGAGCAAGGAGGGGGCAUCAUCCACACCGCGGAGCUGGUUGAGCCUUAUUGCGAACUAGAUAAGCAGGGCAUCGUCGGGGACAUCUCUCGCUUGUGCCAUGAUUUUGGCCUUAAUUCGUCAAAAGUUGCUGUACAAGGAACUACAGGAGAAGAAUCCUAAAGAAAACUUGCACCCAAAAUGUGUUUUAGCUCCCUGGAGCUGGACAUGUUAAUAUCUAGCUGUAUUUUAUAUUUCAAUACCUGAUUUGUACUGCUGUGAUUGUAAAGUACCUGCCAUGAUUUGGCUGUUGUUUGAAAAUUUAUGUGUUAUUGGCUCUGUUUGAAUCAA
Triticum dicoccoides is the source of this 1291-nucleotide long non-coding RNA. RefSeq lists it as uncharacterized. The transcript has 7 exons. The record is from RefSeq and is a predicted model, not a curated record. NCBI's taxonomy places the organism in Eukaryota, Viridiplantae, Streptophyta, Magnoliopsida, Poales, Poaceae.